Hemisphaericaspora subhashii is the source of this 81-nucleotide non-coding RNA. NCBI's taxonomy places the organism in Eukaryota, Fungi, Ascomycota, Pichiomycetes, Serinales, Debaryomycetaceae. The record is from the annotation of a RefSeq genome assembly.
GCGACUGUGAUGGAACGGUAGACAUAGGACACUUAAGCUGUCCAGGCCACGGCCAUGUAGGUUCGAGUCCUACUAGUCGCA